This is a long non-coding RNA of Prionailurus viverrinus (fishing cat), 2829 nucleotides long. RefSeq lists it as uncharacterized. The record is from RefSeq and is a predicted model, not a curated record. The transcript is spliced from 2 exons. Lineage: Eukaryota; Metazoa; Chordata; Mammalia; Carnivora; Felidae.
UGGGCAUCCUUCGAAAGGCGGAGUGCGGGGAGUCAACCAUAGAAAACGUGACCCACGACGCUGGUUUUCUUCCCAAGGGCAGAGCUGAAGCCAGAAGGCAUUUGCAAAGAAGGUUCCUCUAGGUCCCACCCCCGGGGGGCCAGAUGAUGCCUGGUGCGCAUGCUGAACAGCCCGCCUGGGAGAACCCAGAGAGGAGAACGUCGAUGUUCAGAGACUUGAAGCUCCGCCCCCAGGAGUCAAAGGCAGGGGGCCACUCCUUCCAGGCAUCCGGAGGCUUCUAGAAUCAUCCGAUACGCUGUCCACAAAAAUGGAGCCCUCCUUCUUACGGGAGCUCUUUACCAAACAUGUGACGGGGUACAGCCUAGUGAACUCUCCCAAAGUGAACUCACCGCGUCCCCGGCAUGUGUGAAGACACAGAAGGCCCCCUGGCCACCUCCCCCCACCUUCCCCAAGGGGAUCCUACGGGUUUGAAACCUGCUUCUGUCCAUCCGACGGCGCGUCGAGAAGAGCUUUCUGCACCGACUGACUGGGGCGUCUUCGGUUUGAAUGUCCUACCGCUCGCUACACCCAGCGCCCGUUGUCAGCACUUGGGGCUGCUUCUAAGCGUCAAAGCCUGACUUUCGCGGCCCUUCAUACGGCACAGCGGCCCCAGGCUGCUGCCGCUGGACUCUCGCCUUUUCUUCAAGUCCUUGGGCUGGUGCAGCUCGUCGGCCUGGCGGCCACGUCUAUUUUUUACAUACUCAGACACAUCGCGCCCCCUCCGCCUCCACUGCCUGGAGCUGUUUUCCUGGUCAGAGCUCAGGAAGGAGGUCCGGGCUUGGGGGGGUAGGGGAGGGGUGGGCCAGAUUUAACAGUCAGCGACCUGUGCGCAGGGAUCAAGGAACACCCUCCACUUCUCCGAGUAAUGGAGACACAGCGACGUCUUUGCCCCUAAAACACGUUCUGCAAAACACACGCAUUUCUACCCUUUGCCAGAAAACCGUGGGAAACCAGUGUUUCACUGUGGCAGGUGAAUAUUGGACCGACUGCGACAGCCUUCCCGGCUCAGCUCACAGAGAAACACGGAUGUGGUUUUAUAGGUCUUGGAGCAGGGUCCCUCCACCGGGCCCUACGGGGCCAGAAGCCUCUGUCUCGUGGGGGCUGUCCUGUGUGCUACAGAAUGUCUGGCGGCCUCCCUGGCCUCCACCCGCAAGAUGCCAGUAGCAUCCCCUCCCUGUCCCCAACUGUGACCCCCAAAAAACGUUGCCAGACAUCGUCAGGAGACCCGUGCUGCCCUAGCCUCCCCUCGCCACGCUCUCCUUUGAGAACCACUACUCUGGACGACAGCUACUCUUUUAUUCAAUGUGGGACGUAUUGUUUUAAAUACAGUUUUUAAAUGUUUAUUUUUGAGAGAGAGAGAGAGAGAGAGAGAGCGUGAGUGGAGGAGGGGUAGAGAGAGGGAGACACAGAAUCUGAAGCAGGCUCCAGCUCCCAGCUGUCAGCACAGAGCGGGAUGCGGGGCUCGAACUCAUGACCGACUGAGCCGCCCAGGCACCACCCCCCCCUUAUUUUUUUUCAGACCAGAGAGUGAAUAUUAUAGCUUGUGUGGGCCAAGGGGCAAAAUUGAGGAUAGUAUAUAAGUUUCUAUAAAACCAUUUCAAAGGUAACCCUUUAAAACUAUCAAAAACAUGCCUAGUUCUCGGAGCGGAAGGGAAAAAGGCAAAAAAAAAUCAGUGAGGCUGCUGGAGGGCUGUAGUUCACCAAGCCGGUUUAGAGGGAAAAUAACAACUCACAUUCAUUCAGUAUUUGCCUGCGUACCAGCACUGAUCUGCUCAAGUCCCUUCCAGGGAGAAGAGAGCACGUGCAAAGGGCCUGAGGCAGGAGAUUCUUGGUGUGCCGGAGGAGCAGGUGGGGGGAUGCAGGUCCCAAAGCCACGCCGGGAAGACAUGAACUCGGGAAGGGUCCACGAGACACGGUUAAAUCAGAGUCCCUACAGAGAAAAAGAGUCGACCCAACGGGUCCCACACAUCCAUGCAUUCAACAGAUGUAUCCAAGCCCCUUGUGUUCUCUUCUGCCUCCCAAGAUUCAGGCCGGUGAAGGCUGAGGCCGGGCAGGUCUGUGGAGACUGGAGAGCUCAGCCCAGGGCUCAGCGUCCCCAGGCCAGGCUGCGGAAAGAGGGUGCCUGGAUCUGCCAGACCACGGGACUCACGCCGUGAUCGGGACACGGCCCCUUCCAAGCUAAUGACGAGGUCCUCCGUAGACACACACAGCAGGGAGCGGAAGGGAGCCCCGAAGCAAAGCUCUGAGUUCGCUGAACCUCCAGCCGCGUCAGCCUCAGCCAAAAAAGCGUGGUGGGCCCUGUUUGUGGUUUCAUCCCUCUCUCGCUGCCUCCUUUCCUUCUCCGAAGCCCAGGACGGGUGGGAAAGGACCUCCCACCGUAAGAAGGAAGGCGCACGAUAGCUGGUGUGCAAUGAGUGUGUCACGUGCGCUAAGUGGGUUAUGUUGUCGGAAGAGAUCGCGAGACGGACAAAGGGAGACUGUCGGGUGUGCAUUCGGUGAGCGGAUGCUGCAUCGUUAGGAAUGCAGAUGAUUUUGUCCCUGGAAAUGCAGAUAAGUUUUGUCUCCUGGAGCACAACUGACUCUUGCCCUACGACUGGGGCCCCGUUUUGCUUCUACGUGCAGAUUUAUUUCAGCAUUUCUGACUGCCCGUAUAGUUACGUGCGUCUUUGAACUGUCCCUUGAACUGUUUGUCGCAUCUUGCUGGUUCCCUCGUGAACCAAGGCGUUAAAUAAACUCUUCGAUACACUUCCAGUUUGGCUCUGUAGGAGCCCUGGUUUUGUCUUUUAAAAA